Molecule: unclassified non-coding RNA, 2024 nt
Filed under: Homo sapiens (human)
Lineage: Eukaryota; Metazoa; Chordata; Mammalia; Primates; Hominidae
Description: lymphocyte specific protein 1 (ENSG00000288199.3)
Source: RNAcentral
UUUUCUCCAAGUCAGCAGCCUUGGGCAGAGUGGGGUUCAGCGGUCACCAUAGUCAGGCCCUUGGCCACCCCCACCAAGGGCCCCAGCUAUCCAGGGGCUCCCCCUGCCACAUGGGAGGCCUGAGAAGUCGGGGCUUAGGAGGACCUCAUGUAGGGUCCUCAUGUGGGGACCAGGGCAGCCCUUGGGGAGCCCCAGGAUGAUGGGGGAGGCACAGCCCUGCCCUAGGGAGCCCCAGACUGAUGGGGGAAGCACAGCCCUGCUGUUAGGGAGCCACAGGCUGACGGGGGAGGCCCAGCCCUGCCCUAGCGAGUCCCAGAGUGAUGGGGGAGGCACAGCCCUGCUCUUAGGGAGCCACAGGCUGACAGGGGAGGCACAGCCCUGUCCUCAGGGAGCCCUACACUGAUCGAAGAGGCACAGCCUUACCCUCAGGGAGCCCCAAACUGAUGAGGGAGGCAUAGCCCUGCCCUCAGGUAGCCCCAGGCUGAUGGAGGAGGCAUAGCCCUGCUGAGCCUCAAGGAGUCCUGGACUGAUGGAGGAAGCACAGUUCUCAGGCUGCCCCAGAACUGACGGGGGAGGCAUAGCCCUGCCCUCAGGUAUUCUGACCACAGGAGACACAGCCCAGAGCCAGCUCUGUGGCAGACAGGGUCUCCCACACUUGGAGUCCAGGGCCUGAGCGGGCGCCGUGAGCCUCAGCCUGAAGCCCUCGGAGGCCCCUGAACUGGAUGAGGACGAGGGCUUUGGCGACUGGUCCCAGAGGCCAGAGCAGCGGCAGCAGCACGAGGGGGCGCAGGGCGCCUUGGACAGCGGAGAGCCCCCCCAGUGCAGGAGUCCUGAGGGGGAGCAAGAGGACAGGCCCGGCCUGCAUGCCUACGAAAAGGAGGACAGUGAUGAAGUCCACCUGGAGGAGUUGAGUCUGAGCAAGGAGGGGCCAGGCCCAGAGGACACUGUCCAGGACAACCUGGGGGCCGCAGGGGCUGAGGAGGAACAGGAGGAGCACCAGAAAUGUCAGCAGCCCAGGACACCCAGCCCCUUGGUCUUGGAGGGGACCAUCGAACAGAGCUCGCCUCCCCUGAGCCCUACCACCAAACUCAUCGACAGGACCGAGUCCCUAAACCGCUCCAUAGAGAAGAGUAACAGUGUGAAGAAAUCCCAGCCAGACUUGCCCAUCUCCAAGAUUGAUCAGUGGCUGGAACAAUACACCCAGGCCAUCGAGACCGCUGGCCGGACCCCCAAGCUAGCCCGCCAGGCCUCCAUAGAGCUGCCCAGCAUGGCUGUGGCCAGUACCAAGAGUCGGUGGGAGACGGGUGAGGUACAGGCUCAGUCUGCGGCCAAGACUCCGUCCUGCAAGGAUAUUGUGGCUGGAGACAUGAGCAAGAAAAGCCUCUGGGAGCAGAAGGGAGGCUCCAAGACCUCAUCAACAAUUAAGAGCACCCCAUCUGGGAAGAGGUAUAAGUUUGUGGCCACCGGGCAUGGGAAGUAUGAGAAGGUGCUUGUGGAAGGGGGCCCGGCUCCCUAGGCGUCCCAUCUCGCUUCCUGGGUCUGCAGGUCCAGCCGGCUGGCACCCUCCAUGUACCCAGGGGAGAUUCCAGCCAGACACCCGCCCCCCGGCCCUGGCUAAGAAGUUGCUUCCUGUUGCCAGCAUGACCUACCCUCGCCUCUUUGAUGCCAUCCGCUGCCACCUCCUUUUGCUCCUGGACCCUUUAGCCUCUCUGCCCUUCCACUCUCUGACCACCGCCCCCGCCCUCCCCACCCAGCUCCGCUUCUUGUUACUUGGGGGAGGAAAGAAACUCCUGAUCAUUGGCCAAAGGGACUUACCCCUGGAGAGGCCAAGUGCCUUCUAGGAAGUUAGGAGGUUGAGGCACAGCCUGUGCAGAGAGGGUGGGUCACCCCCCCAGAUCCAAGGAGAAACUGCAGGUCAAGGGCUGAUAACGGCCAUGCAGGAUGCUUGAUGCUGCGUCCCCCGCUGCUUGCCGCCCCCCACCCCGCCAUUUUGUAUAAUAAAGCUCCCUGUGUAUUCUCAUGUG